CCACCCUGUGUCCAAGUGUUCUCAUUGUUCAAUUCCCUUUAUGAGAGGUUAUCUACACUAUGAGAGCACCUUAGUAUGCAAGAGUCAAACACUGGUCAUCAUGGCGGUUUUGCUUCAAGAUGGUGUCACUCUUGCCACACAAAAGUGUUUCCCACGUGAGAAGCCAGCACCACCACCUUCAUCAAUAUCACCAUGACUUUCAUCGUCAUCACCAUUACAACCACCAUCAUUAAUAUCACCAUCACCUUCACGUAACUACCUCCACAACCACCAUUCUCAAUAUCACCAUCACCUUCAUUACCACCACUACAACCACCAUCAAUAUCACCAUCACCUUCAUCAUCACCACCACCACAACCACCAUCAAUAUCACCAUCACCUUCAUCACCACCACCAUCAUCAUCAAUAUCACUAUCACUUUCAUCAUCACCACCAGCACCACAACCACCAUCAAUAUCACCAUUACCUUCAUCAUCACCAUCACCUUCAUCACCACAACCACCAUCUCACAAUCACUUUCAUCAUCACCACCACCAUAACCAUCGUCAAUAUCACCAUCACCUUCAUCAUCACCACAACCACCAUCAACCAUAUCACCAUCACUUUCAUCAUCACCACCACCACAACCACCAUCAAUACCACCUUCAUCAUCACCACCACCACAAAUCACCAUCAUAUCACCCUCACUUUCAUCAUUACCACAAUCACCAUCAAUAUCACCAUCCCCUUCACCAUCACUACCAACACAGCCACCAUCAUCAAUAUCACCCUCAACUUUAUUAUCACCUCCACCAUCAGCAGCAGCAUCAACUUCAUCAUCACCAUCACCACCUCUGCCAUCAGCAGCAUCAUUAUUAUCUUCAUCAUCAUGGUUUCAGCCACAAUCGGAAUCAACAGCCGUCACCCAGAGUUGAAGGAGGUGUCACCCACUCAGAGAACACCCCUGACCUUCCCAAGGAAGCCCUCUGCACUCCGACGCCAUAUACCCGUGAUCUGCACAGGACUGUCACCAUCUGGAAUUGAUUGCCUCUCUUCCCGUUUUGCUAUUGUCAUUUGCACCCACAGGAAUGUCACCCACAUGAGUGUGGAAUUUCAUCUGUCUGUUCGCUGCUGGAUCCCUGCUCUAAGUAAGAAAAGGACCUGUGGCAGAGUGAGCUCUGGAUGAGGAUUUGCUGAGGAAUUGAAUGAGGGAAAGACUCAGAGAAUGGAAUGCUGAGAAUUCUACAAUAAAUAUUUGAAUCCUAGAGUGUUGGAGUCAGGAGAAGCCCUCGGAAGCCAUCUAGACAAACCCAUUCAUUUGCAAAGGGGUAAACUGAGGCUGAGGAGAAAAAAGUGACUUGCUCCACAUCCCAAGGCCUGAGGGUCUUCUCCCUGCUCUGAUGGGAGAGGGACCCCCUUUGUGCUGUUGUGGGUAAAAUGGUGAUGUGUGGCUGGAGGGUGAAGGGGCUUCUUCUGCCCUUUGACUCAUUGCCUAGGAAAAUAGGGACAAAAGGCGCAAAUUUUUUCAAAAUGCAAACAACUAAAGACAACGUCAUUCAGUAGAGACAAAGUGGGUGUUUGGGUUGACAGAGAAACAGAAAAGCUUCCCUGAGGUUGAGGAGGGAAGAGGGGGCUUGAAGGUGGGUGAGCCCCAAAUGUGACCUUCAACUCCUGGGAAGCUGUAGGCAAGGACAUAGCCAAGGCAAAACCAUCAAGAAUGUAAUUCACCAACAGAAACAUUCACUGACCACCCUCGGGGCCUGAAGGUCUUUCCAAAGCCUUGCUGCUGAGCACAUGAUGAACUUCAAACAAUAGCGAAGUCAGGAGCCAGGCGCUGAUGACCCCCAGGAGGAAGCUUGCAGAGGAUGAUGGGACAGAGGGGGAUGGGCAGGAGUCUAAGCAGGCGCUCAGGGAGGCCGCUUUCGUCAAGGAUGCUGAAAGAAUGGGGGUCUCAUGGAUUCUGGGAGAGAUGGUCCAAGGCAGAGGGACAGCCAGUGUGGGCCUGGAAAGAUGUGUGCCGCAUGUCUGAGGGGCAGGGGCCAAUGUGGCUGGAGGUAGAUGGGAGAGGAGGACACUAGGGGCUGAGGUCAGAGGGGACACAACUGGAUCUGUGCGAGACCUUGCAUGCCACUGAAAGGGCGCUGGCUGUCACUGUCGUGACCAGAGCCUCUGGGCAGGUCUUCACAGAGGUCAGGCUGACUGCACUUGCGGAUGGAUUGAAUAGCAGUAGUUAGAGGACAGCAUGCAUGGCUCAGGGAGGAUUCCCAGGAUUUGGGAUGCACAGCUGGAAGAAGGGAGGAGCUCCUGAAUGAGGAGUGGGAGGUCCGGGAAGGGCAGCCUUGGUGGGGAGAGACGCCGGGACCUGCAGAGAAACUCCCUGAAAAGAACAGGGCUGAGCCAUCUUUACCCCAGGCUCAGGACCUUCCUUCGCUGUAACUGCCAGGACAAUCCACUGUGCUGUCACUCAGAGAGCGAAACCAGCCUGACUUUGCACCUGUGUCUCCAAGGGAUAAAGGUCAAUGUCACAGCAGACUCCACUCUGAUGCUGUCUUCAAGCCAAAACCUUAAUAUUCAAUGAGAA
This 2560-nucleotide long non-coding RNA is filed under the name Homo sapiens (human). RNAcentral's name for it is "HSALNT0401403". Lineage: Eukaryota; Metazoa; Chordata; Mammalia; Primates; Hominidae. The record is from RNAcentral.